This 66-nucleotide transfer RNA is filed under the name Clostridioides difficile CD200. Its description in RNAcentral is "partial tRNA-Tyr". It matches the Rfam family "tRNA", at positions 19 to 71 of the family's 71-position model. From Rfam's summary of the family: Transfer RNA (tRNA) molecules are approximately 80 nucleotides in length. Lineage: Bacteria; Bacillati; Bacillota; Clostridia; Peptostreptococcales; Peptostreptococcaceae. The record is from RNAcentral.
CAAAGGGGGCAGACUGUAAAUCUGUUGUCAUCGACUUCGGUGGUUCGAAUCCACCAUCCUCCACCA